AUGCAACAUUUUGCCCAUUCCUUAAUAAGUCUUCCCAUCAAGACCCAUGACUGGAGGACUCAGCCAUUCACUGUGGUCUGUCUGCUGGAGCCAACUGGAGCUAUUUGUGCCCAACACAGGGCAGCCUCUUCUCACAGAGCCCACCCUGUCUACCAAACCCUUGACCCCUUAACCCAAUUCAACUGUACAUCAGUACCCUUAAAUAAUUGGAUUGGUUCUGAGAGCAAGAACAAAGCUUCAAUGAGAAGAAAAUCAGGACAAAUAAUUACAUUUAAGCAAAGGUAUUAGGUAAGGACUGAUCCUCAGACUAUUGAAAUGGGUAGAAAUAAUCAUACUGUUUUCAGCAUCAUUUUGUUUAAACCAUAAUUGCAUAUAUUGAGAUUUUUUUUUUUUUUAAUCUUGUUUCAUGCCUGGGUGGAGGCUAAAAAAGAAUACUGAUCUUAACAAACUGUAAAACCACCAGAUUUUCUACAGGCCAAUACUACAUAUAGAGUCUAUGCAAGAACAACUUCCUAAUGAAAAUUCAGAAUUUUUUAAACAUAUUAUAAUUCAGUUUUAUCAUAUAUGAAUCUUAUCAUCAUUACAUUUUUCCAGUAUUACACAGUCCUUUUAAUACUAUUUGCAAUUGCAACUGAAAUUAGGGUUACAGAAACAAACUAACUAAAAACCACAACAGGAAAAAGCAACGACAAAAAAAAAUUCCUGUGUUUUUUUCAAGUCACAUAUUAGCACUUUUAUUUUACUAUUUCAAUCCCAAGAAGGAAAGUAAAUUCUAUAUCAAUCUGAGUGUAGCAUUAUGUAAUUUUAAUUCUUCUAAUGGCGUCUCAUCUACAGAACUAUUCUGUUGUACUCUCCCUUUCUCUCAUAAAAUGCAAAAUUUAAAAUGUGAUUCUUCCCUAAAGGUAAAAAAAAAAAAAAACCCUGUUUUUUUCUAGGUUGUGUCUUUUUGAAGAUGUGUUUCCAAAAAACGGCCAGCCAGAGAGAGAGAGGAAUCAACUUAAAACCUAAUAUUAAUUUUUACCAUUUUCCUUAGGACAACUCUUGGAAAGAGUCAUAUGUGGCACUUUCAGACAGGCAGUCAAGAGUCUUUUAAUCUGUUUGAGGGGUUUUUUUUAAUAUCUAUGGGGCAGUUAUCCACAUGUUACAAAUUCUAAUUACAUUGAUCAGUGUUUGAGAAGUAUUACAGUGUUUUUAUAAGAAAUUUAAUUUUUCUGGAUGUCAUUACAUUUUUUUGAAGUAGCAAUGAAAUUUAAACAGCUGAAUUUGUUUCAUACUUCUUUUAUCUCUCUCCAUUCAGAAGUUUAGGAACUUUUCAUAUUUUAGUGCUAUACUUUGUAGAGCUUUCAGUAUUAAUUUAGCACAUCACAAUAUGUAUUUACACUUUGUGUUGAUUCUCCCUAAGGAUUUACUAAUUCAAUAUGAAUAUAUUCAAAUAAAAUAUUAUGAAUAAGUUUACCUUAAAACCA
RNAcentral lists this long non-coding RNA (1466 nucleotides) under Cyanistes caeruleus (blue tit). Its description in RNAcentral is "lncRNA (ENSCCEG00000000078.1)". Lineage: Eukaryota; Metazoa; Chordata; Aves; Passeriformes; Paridae. The record is from RNAcentral.